AGGCCAAUAGCUCAAUUGGUAGAGCAGCGGUCUCCAAAACCGCAGGUUGGGGGUUCGAUACCCUCUUGGCCUGCCA
RNAcentral lists this transfer RNA (76 nucleotides) under Candidatus Thiodiazotropha lotti. Its description in RNAcentral is "tRNA-Trp". It matches the Rfam family "tRNA". Rfam says of the family: Transfer RNA (tRNA) molecules are approximately 80 nucleotides in length. Their secondary structure includes four short double-helical elements and three loops (D, anti-codon, and T loops). Lineage: Bacteria; Pseudomonadati; Pseudomonadota; Gammaproteobacteria; Chromatiales; Sedimenticolaceae. The record is from RNAcentral.